This 362-nucleotide ribosomal RNA is filed under the name Puccinellia vahliana. RNAcentral describes it as "eukaryotic LSU rRNA". The stretch from base 1 to 107 matches the Rfam family "5.8S ribosomal RNA", at positions 50 to 154 of the family's 154-position model. The record is from RNAcentral. Lineage: Eukaryota; Viridiplantae; Streptophyta; Magnoliopsida; Poales; Poaceae.
GAAAUGCGAUACCUGGUGUGAAUUGCAGAAUCCCGCGAACCAUCGAGUCUUUGAACGCAAGUUGCGCCCGAGGCCUCUUGGCUGAGGGCACGCCUGCCUGGGCGUCACGCCAAAUACGCUCCCACCACCUAAUCGGGUAGUAGGAUGCGGCUUGUGGCUCUCCGUCACGCAAGUUACGGUGGGCCGAAGAUGUGGCUGCCGGCGUAUCGUGUCGGACACAGCGCGUGGUGGGCGACCUCGCUUUACUUACCGCAGUGUAUCCGACCCGUAGCCGACGUGAUGGCCUCGAAUGACCCAAUGGACGGAGCGCAUGACGCUUCGACCGCGACCCCAGGUCAGGCGGGACUACCCGCUGAGUUUAA